AUAGCGAAAUGGACCCGGGCUGCACAGUGAUCAAUCUUCUUUCGCAGAAUUAAUUGUUGGACCCGAUCAUGCAUGAUCUCAGAGUAAAUAUUCUGAAUUCUCUCGUUCCUCUGUCUGCAUAGAUCUCAAGAUGAUCAUUGCAUGAUCCAACGUUUAUUCAUGUGAAAGAAGAUAAACCUUUUUUUCCCAUAGAAGGAAGAUUCUAUGUCUUACUGUUU
RNAcentral lists this long non-coding RNA (218 nucleotides) under Elaeis guineensis (African oil palm). Its description in RNAcentral is "long non-coding RNA (EGUI_LNC022070)". The record is from RNAcentral. Lineage: Eukaryota; Viridiplantae; Streptophyta; Magnoliopsida; Arecales; Arecaceae.